RNAcentral lists this ribosomal RNA (512 nucleotides) under uncultured bacterium. Its description in RNAcentral is "bacterial SSU rRNA". It matches the Rfam family "Bacterial small subunit ribosomal RNA", at positions 17 to 518 of the family's 1533-position model. The record is from RNAcentral.
UUAUGGCUCAGGAAUGAACGCUAGCUACAGGCUUAACACAUGCAAGUCGAGGGGCAGCAUGAGAUUAGCUUGCUAAUCUUGAUGGCGACCGGCGCACGGGUGAGUAACGCGUAUCCAACCUUCCCUUAGUAGGGCAUAGCCCGGCGAAAGUCGGAUUAAUACCCUAUGUUCUCGUAGAGGACAUCUGAAAUGAAGCAAAGAUUUAUCGCUAAGGGAUGGGGAUGCGUCUGAUUAGGUAGUCGGCGGGGUAACGGCCCACCGAGCCUGCGAUCAGUAGGGGUUCUGAGAGGAAGGUCCCCCACAUUGGAACUGAGACACGGUCCAAACUCCUACGGGAGGCAGCAGUGAGGAAUAUUGGUCAAUGGGCGCGAGCCUGAACCAGCCAAGUAGCGUGCAAGGAUGACGGCCCUAUGGGUUGUAAACUGCUUUUAUGCGGGGAUAAAGUGCACCACGUGUGGUGUUUUGUAGGUACCGCAUGAAUAAGGACCGGCUAAUUCCGUGCCAGCAGCCGC